CGCUGGCGGCGUGCUUAACACAUGCAAGUCGAACGGUAAGGCCCUUCGGGGUACACGAGUGGCGAACGGGUGAGUAACACGUGGGUGAUCUGCCCUGCACUUCGGGAUAAGCCUGGGAAACUGGGUCUAAUACCGGAUAGGACCAUGGACUUCACGGUUUGUGGUGGAAAGCUUUUGCGGUGUGGGAUGGGCCCGCGGCCUAUCAGCUUGUUGGUGGGGUAAUGGCCUACCAAGGCGACGACGGGUAGCCGGCCUGAGAGGGUGUCCGGCCACACUGGGACUGAGAUACGGCCCAGACUCCUACGGGAGGCAGCAGUGGGGAAUAUUGCGCAAUGGGCGCAAGCCUGAUGCAGCGACGCCGCGUGAGGGAUGACGGCCUUCGGGUUGUAAACCUCUUUCAAUAGGGACGAAGCGCAAGUGACGGUACCUAUAGAAGAAGCACCGGCCAACUACGUG
Molecule: ribosomal RNA, 456 nt
Filed under: uncultured bacterium
Lineage: Bacteria
Description: bacterial SSU rRNA
Rfam family: Bacterial small subunit ribosomal RNA
Source: RNAcentral